GGUAGAUAAUGAAACUGGAAAGAGACGCCGGUGAGACUUUGGCCGGAGGUGAGUAGGAGGAGUCGUUUUCAGGUGGUUUUGGGGACAAAAGGUUCAUCGAAUUAUCAUAAUACUCUACUUGUCAUAUGUUUCUUUUUCUUCAACCCCCUUGAGGGGAAGGUCUCUGGUUUUUAUCAAGUGAGGGGGCAUUAUCAGAUGACACAAUCCCUUGGAUUUUUUUUUUACCUUGUUUAGUUUGCAUUCUUUGCAUCAUCGUUUUGUCACUUUCUUUUGGGGUUUUGUAUGUUUGGUUAUAAAAGCAUGUUCACAUUUUUAUUUUUAUAUAAAAAAAGUUGUCAGGUCUAUUUCCUCUUUGAUGCAGUUUUAGGAGAUUGCAAUUAGCACAGUUAGUGCGCUUAGCUUAAAGCUUCUGUUUACAGGUACAUUAGAUGUUGUCAUGUCUCUAGACAACAGGUGUACAUCUAUUUUAUUACAAAGGAAUUGUUAUCUCAUUUAAGUUCCUUAUUUACUUGGUUGACUCGAACUGUAAGGGAAAGGUCGCAUGUUAACAGGGAACGUCCUGCCUUACUCUUUCUCUAAAGAGCCAAGUUAAAUCUAAGUACGUCAUACCUCACUCAUAUCCAGCAUUCAAGUUACCUGUUAUUUACGUAUAUUUGUAAAUAAUACCGAACCUAUACAUGACUUGCUGUUUGAAACAAUCUCGACCAUUGAAGUUGUGUGUACUUUAUGGGUUAAACUCUCUAUAUAUGACAGCAAGUUAUGUCAAUAGCUUUAGCAUUAUUGGUAGAAUCUGACAUUUUCUGGUGAACUCUAUAUAUGUUUGAUAUAUCUUCUAGCGAGUUUGUCUCAGCACUUCUACGCAGUCCUGAACAUUUUCUGACAUGAUUCGAACUUUUUACUUGAUAUUAUAUAGGGAAAUUUGACCGCAUGACAAUAUUAGGGUACGAUAUAUGAUAUAUUAUUAUGCAGAAUGCCUAAAAUACCCCAGCAUGAGCGUGAGAUAAAGAGUAAGGUCCAUCUUCUCUUCAUUUUAUAUUUUUUGGAAACUGAACAGUUUAUUCUCACUUUUUAACAUCAAAAAAACCGACAAAAAAAUCAAGAUUUGAAGAGCAAAAAAAUUGUCUGACUUGGGGUAGAUAAAGGUUUAAAGGUUUAAUUUUUGAUAUCCGGUGGUAAAGAGCUUUCGCAUCCGGCAAUUAAAAGUUAGGGUUACAGAGGCAAGGGUAAUCGACAGAGUCAGGAUUGAUUGCAGAGCGGAAAGAGAAGGCAUUGAAUUAUAUCUGGGUGCAAGGGUUGAACGUCACCGGGGGAGAAAGGAAACUCAAUGUCUAUGGCAGAAGACCUGCUUAAUGGAGGCUCGCGACAUCAUGCACAGCCAACGAGACAAAAUUAGAGAGCUCAAAGCA
This is a long non-coding RNA of Brassica oleracea var. oleracea, 1406 nucleotides long. RefSeq lists it as uncharacterized. The transcript is spliced from 3 exons. The record is from RefSeq and is a predicted model, not a curated record. Lineage: Eukaryota; Viridiplantae; Streptophyta; Magnoliopsida; Brassicales; Brassicaceae.